UUGAACGCUGGCGGCAGGCCUAACACAUGCAAGUCGAACGGUAACAGGAAACAGCUUGCUGUUUCGCUGACGAGUGGCGGCCGGGUGAGUAAUGUCUGGGAAACUGCCUGAUGGAGGGGGAUAACUACUGGAAACGGUAGCUAAUACCGCAUAACGUCGCAAGACCAAAGAGGGGGACCCUCGGGCCUCUUGCCAUCGGAUGUGCCCAGAUGGGAUUAGCUUGUUGGUGGGGUAACGGCUCACCAAGGCGACGAUCCCUAGCUGGUCUGAGAGGAUGACCAGCCACACUGGAACUGAGACACGGUCCAGACUCCUACGGGAGGCAGCAGUGGGGAAUAUUGCACAAUGGGCGCAAGCCUGAUGCAGCCAUGCCGCGUGUAUGAAGAAGGCCUUCGGGUUGUAAAGUACUUUCAGCGGGGAGGAAGGGAGUAAAGUUAAUACCUUUGCUCAUUGACGUUACCCGCAGAAGAAGCACCGGCUAACUCCGUG
This 489-nucleotide ribosomal RNA is filed under the name uncultured bacterium. RNAcentral describes it as "partial 16S ribosomal RNA". It matches the Rfam family "Bacterial small subunit ribosomal RNA", at positions 30 to 507 of the family's 1533-position model. The record is from RNAcentral.